This 73-nucleotide microRNA precursor is filed under the name Cuculus canorus (common cuckoo). RNAcentral's name for it is "mir-192/215 microRNA precursor family". It matches the Rfam family "mir-192/215 microRNA precursor family". From Rfam's summary of the family: This family represents the human microRNA (miRNA) precursors mir-192 and mir-215. The record is from Rfam by way of RNAcentral. Lineage: Eukaryota; Metazoa; Chordata; Aves; Cuculiformes; Cuculidae.
CCAGGAAAAUGACCUAUGAAUUGACAGACUGCUUUCUAAGUUUGCCUGUCAUUUCUAUAGGCCAAUAUUCUGC